UAGGGAAUCUUCGGCAAUGGGGGCAACCCUGACCGAGCAACGCCGCGUGAGUGAAGAAGGUUUUCGGAUCGUAAAGCUCUGUUGUAAGUCAAGAACGGGUGUGAGAGUGGAAAGUUCACACUGUGACGGUAGCUUACCAGAAAGGGACGGCUAACUACGUGCCAGCAGCCGCGGUAAUACGUAGGUCCCGAGCGUUGUCCGGAUUUAUUGGGCGUAAAGCGAGCGCAGGCGGUUUGAUAAGUCUGAAGUUAAAGGCUGUGGCUCAACCAUAGUUCGCUUUGGAAACUGUCAACUUGAGUGCAGAAGGGGAGAGUGGAAUUCCAUGUGUAGCGGUGAAAUGCGUAGAUAUAUGGAGGAACACCGGUGGCGAAAGCGGCUCUCUGGUCUGUAACUGACGCUGAGGCUCGAAAGCGUGGGGAGCGAACAGGAUUAGAUACCCUGGUAGUCCACGCCGUAAACG
RNAcentral lists this ribosomal RNA (460 nucleotides) under uncultured bacterium. Its description in RNAcentral is "partial 16S ribosomal RNA". It matches the Rfam family "Bacterial small subunit ribosomal RNA", at positions 355 to 808 of the family's 1533-position model. The record is from RNAcentral.